GGGAGGGUGGAGGUGAAAUAUGCUGCGGGUCUAUACAUGCAAGUCGAGCGGACAGAAGGGAGCUUGCUCCCGGAUGUUAGCGGCGGACGGGUGAGUAACACGUGGGUAACCUGCCUGUAAGACUGGGAUAACUCCGGGAAACCGGAGCUAAUACCGGAUAGUUCCUUGAACCGCAUGGUUCAAGGAUGAAAGACGGUUUCGGCUGUCACUUACAGAUGGACCCGCGGCGCAUUAGCUAGUUGGUGGGGUAAUGGCUCACCAAGGCGACGAUGCGUAGCCGACCUGAGAGGGUGAUCGGCCACACUGGGACUGAGACACGGCCCAGACUCCUACGGGAGGCAGCAGUAGGGAAUCUUCCGCAAUGGACGAAAGUCUGACGGAGCAACGCCGCGUGAGUGAUGAAGGUUUUCGGAUCGUAAAGCUCUGUUGUUAGGGAAGAACAAGUGCGAGAGUAACUGCUCGCACCUUGACGGUACCUAACCAGAAAGCCACGGCUAACUACGUGCCAGCAGCCGCGGUAAUACGUAGGUGGCAAGCGUUGUCCGGAAUUAUUGGGCGUAAAGGGCUCGCAGGCGGUUUCUUAAGUCUGAUGUGAAAGCCCCCGGCUCAACCGGGGAGGGUCAUUGGAAACUGGGAAACUUGAGUGCAGAAGAGGAGAGUGGAAAUUCCACGUGUAGCGGUGAAAUGCGUAGAGAUGUGGGAGGAACACCAGUGGCGAAAGCGACUCUCUGGUCUGUAACUGACGCUGAGGAGCGAAAGCGUGGGGAGCGAACAGGAUUAGAUACCCUGGUAGUCCACGCCCGUAACGAUGAGUGCUAAGUGUUAGGGGGUUUCCGCCCCCUUAGUGCUGCAGCUAACGUCAUUAAGCACUCCGCCUGGGGGAGUACGGUCGCAGAGCUGAAACUCAAGAAUUGACGAGGGCCCGCCACAAGCGGUGGGAGCAUGUGGAUUUAUUUCGGAAGCACGGCGAGAUCUUUACAGUGUGGACAGUCGUCUGACGACCUAAAGAAUACGCCUUCCAUCCGGGACGGACUGACAGUGUGCAUGCAUGUCGUCAGCUCCGGUCAUGCAUGUUGGAUUAAGUUCAGCA
This 1090-nucleotide ribosomal RNA is filed under the name Bacillus sp. (in: firmicutes). RNAcentral describes it as "bacterial SSU rRNA". It matches the Rfam family "Bacterial small subunit ribosomal RNA", at positions 1 to 1091 of the family's 1533-position model. Lineage: Bacteria; Bacillati; Bacillota; Bacilli; Caryophanales; Bacillaceae. The record is from RNAcentral.